GACGAACGCUGGCAGCGUGCCUAAUACAUGCAAGUCGAGCGGACCACUUCGGUGGUCAGCGGCGGACGGGUGAGUAACACGUGGGCAACCUGCCUGUAAGACUGGGAUAACACCGGGAAACCGGUGCUAAUACCGGAUAAUCCUUUCCUUCACAUGAGGGAAAGCUGAAAGACGGUUUCGGCUGUCACUUACAGAUGGGCCCGCGGCGCAUUAGCUAGUUGGUGAGGUAACGGCUCACCAAGGCAACGAUGCGUAGCCGACCUGAGAGGGUGAUCGGCCACACUGGGACUGAGACACGGCCCAGACUCCUACGGGAGGCAGCAGUAGGGAAUCUUCCGCAAUGGACGAAAGUCUGACGGAGCAACGCCGCGUGAGCGAUGAAGGCCUUCGGGUCGUAAAGCUCUGUUGUCAGGGAAGAACAAGUACCGGAGUAACUGCCGGUACCUUGACGGUACCUGACCAGAAAGCCACGGCUAACUACGUGCCAGCAGCCGCGGUAA
RNAcentral lists this ribosomal RNA (500 nucleotides) under uncultured bacterium. RNAcentral describes it as "partial 16S ribosomal RNA". It matches the Rfam family "Bacterial small subunit ribosomal RNA", at positions 28 to 523 of the family's 1533-position model. The record is from RNAcentral.